UGGACGUAGGUUUGAAAACCGAACCACGUUAAACACUUGUCUUGCUCUCUUAUUCUUCUUCUUCAACAUGGCAUCAGAGCACCAAGGUUCUUUACCUACCGGUGCUGUCUCAGAUACAUCCCAGGGAUCUAGUUCUUCUCCCACCCCUUCUAGUCCCAUCCCCUCUUUCAAUAACUUUAUCUCGAUUAAGCUAAGUGAUACCAACUACUUGCUGUGGCGAUCUCAACUUAUUCCCCUCCUCAAAAGUUAUGACUUGUAUGGACUGAUUAACAGAUCCUCUGUCUAUCCUCCACCCACAGCUAAUGGUGCCGCUGCUACUGGCUCAGAUCCUGUGCUUCUUCCCAACCCAGCAUAUACUAGUUGGGUUCUCCAGGACCAACUACUGAUGUGUUGGCUUCUUGCCUUUCUCACCGAAGCUGUUCACACCCAAGUCAUUGGCUACAACUCCUCUCGCGCCAUAUGGACCUCUCUUGAGCAGCUCUAUUCAACCACUUCAAUAGCUCGUAUCAUGCAGUUACGAUUGACGUCCCGUCUCGGACGAAGACCUCUGCCUCCAUAUUCUGAAUGGACUUGGUUCUGAUUAUGCCGCGUUUGUCACAUCCAUUUCAACUCGUGAUAUCCCUGUUAUGUUCCAUGAUCUUCGCGGCAUGCUUCUCACACAGGAGUUGCGUCUUAAAGAUGAUGUAUUGCAUCUUGAUGGCACUUAUCCUAUUGCCUAUGUUGCUACCACUGAGACCCAAGGUAACAAAUCUAAUAACUGUGGCAAUGGCUACUUUCAUGGACGUUAUGGUGGAUGUUCCGGUGGACGUUCUCGUGGGCAGUUUGGUGGCAACCGAUCUUCUAAUGGCUGCUCCAACAAUAACAGGCAACAUCCCAUAAACGGGAAUUCUAAUGGUGCACCACAAGGGCAUAGUUAUUUUACUCCACAUCGCCCUAAUAAUCAAUGUCAGAUUUGCACCCGUAUGGGUCACACAGCCAUUGACUGUCGCUAGCGCUUUAACUAUGCCUACUCCACUGGUUCUUCCGCUCCACCAAUGGCUAAUGUGGCUACUUACAUGCCCCCUACCAAUGAUAAUAUUUGGUACCCAGACUCUGGCGCUACAAACCACAUAACCUCUGAUCUAGACAAUCUUCAUCUCUCACAACCUUAUAAUGGUUCCGAUCAUGUUCAAAUCGGAAAUGGCUCAGGUUUGCAAAUCGAGAACAUUGGCACCUCUUCUAUUUCAAAUUUCCAUCUACACAAUAUGUUGCAUGUCCCUUCCAUUACUCUAAACUUACUUUCUGUCUCUCAAUUCACUCGUGACAAUAAUGUUGCUUUUGAGUUCCACGCUGACUACUUUUUGGUGAAGGAUCGCUGCUCGGGGAAAUGCCUCCUCCAGGGCUGAACUAAGGAUGGUCUUUACCAGCUCGUUCUGAAUAAGAGUACUAAUAAAUGUCUCCACAGGCGCGUUUAGGAGAAAGGGUCUCUGUCACUCAAUGGCAUAAUAGAUUAGGGCAUCCUGCUCUCCGGAUUGUUCGUCACAUCAUUCAUAAUUUUGGGUUACCCAUUACCACAGAGAAAGACUAUUCUAUCUGCAGUGCAUGUCAGCAGGGCAAGGGGCACAAACUUCCUUUUGAUCGGUCCACUUCCAUUUCUACUAGUCCUCUUGACCUGGUGUACUCCGAUGUCUGGGGGCCGUCUCUGAUUCCCUCAACUGAUGGUCAUAGAUACUAUGUGAUGUUUUUGGAUGCUUAUAGCAAAUAUAUUUGGUUGUACCCCUUGACAGUAAAAUCUGAAGUUUUAUCUAUUUUUCAAAAGUUUAAACUUCUUGUUGAGAACCUAUUUGAUCGCAGAAUUAAAAGGUUUCAUAGUGAUUGGGGUGGAGAA
This is a long non-coding RNA of Macadamia integrifolia, 1867 nucleotides long. RefSeq lists it as uncharacterized. The transcript has 2 exons. The record is from RefSeq and is a predicted model, not a curated record. Lineage: Eukaryota; Viridiplantae; Streptophyta; Magnoliopsida; Proteales; Proteaceae.